GAUGAACGCUGGCGGCGUGCUUAACACAUGCAAGUCGAACGGGAUCCCAGGAGCUUGCUCCUGGGUGAGAGUGGCGAACGGGUGAGUAAUGCGUGACCGACCUGCCCCAUACACCGGAAUAGCUCCUGGAAACGGGUGGUAAUGCCGGAUGCUCCAGUUGACCGCAUGGUCCUCUGGGAAAGCUUUUGCGGUAUGGGAUGGGGUCGCGUCCUAUCAGCUUGAUGGCGGGGUAACGGCCCACCAUGGCUUCGACGGGUAGCCGGCCUGAGAGGGCGACCGGCCACAUUGGGACUGAGAUACGGCCCAGACUCCUACGGGAGGCAGCAGUGGGGAAUAUUGCACAAUGGGCGCAAGCCUGAUGCAGCGACGCCGCGUGCGGGAUGACGGCCUUCGGGUUGUAAACCGCUUUUGACUGGGAGCAAGCCCUUCGGGGUGAGUGUACCUUUCGAAUAA
This 453-nucleotide ribosomal RNA is filed under the name uncultured bacterium. Its description in RNAcentral is "bacterial SSU rRNA". It matches the Rfam family "Bacterial small subunit ribosomal RNA", at positions 28 to 489 of the family's 1533-position model. The record is from RNAcentral.